This is an RNA transcript of Vigna unguiculata (cowpea), 1801 nucleotides long. It is a transcript of the gene named Ras-related small GTP-binding family protein, with no coding region annotated. Lineage: Eukaryota; Viridiplantae; Streptophyta; Magnoliopsida; Fabales; Fabaceae. The record is from RefSeq and is a predicted model, not a curated record.
CUUGCAUCGCGUGGUUUACACGAAUGAGUACCGAGAUGGUAUGAUUACGAUGAAUUGUUCAUCUCUUUCACCUUUCCGCCACCAUCGCGUCAAAAAACAAAGCCAUUUUGAAGACAGUGCACAACACAGACACACACCACAAAUCCAUCAUCUUCGCCCUAAUCCCUUUCUCUUUCACCGCCUCCGAAACUCCUCAGAUCCGUCGUCGAUUCGCGUUUCGCGCUUUUUCAUUUCGUUUUCUCGCGAGAUACGCGACGCCGGAGCGUGGACUUCUCGCUCCGAUCCCGGCGUGAUUAUCACGUGACAUGGGUUUUGGAACUUGAUGAGCGCACGUGCGUGUGGUAGUGAAGGCGUGUUUUGAGAUUAUCGUCGGUGAAGAGGGAAUCAUGUUCUGGAGGGACCGUGAGAGGGAGAACACAGAGUUGAACGGUGGGGUCCUAUGUGGCCAGGUCAGAGUGCUGGUUGUUGGUGAUUCAGGUGUUGGGAAGACUUCGUUAGUGAACCUGAUUAUAAAAGGUUCUCCAAUUGCUCGCCCUCCUCAAACAAUUGGUUGUGCAGUUGAUGUGAAACAUACUACUUAUGGAAAUUCAGGCAGCUCUUCUAGUAGCCUAAAAGGUGAUUCUGAGAGAGAUUUCUUUGUUGAACUGUGGGAUGUCUCAGGACACGAACGGUACAAAGAUUGUCGGUCUCUUUUUUAUUCACAGAUUAAUGGUGUAAUUUUUGUUCACGAUCUCUCACAGAGAAGAACAAAGACUAGCUUGCAGAAGUGGGCAGCUGAGAUUGCUGCAACUGGGACAUUUUCAGCUCCUUUGGGAUCUGGUGGUCCUAGUGGCCUUCCUGUUCCAUUUAUUGUUAUUGGUAACAAAGCUGAUAUAGCUGCACAAGAGGGUACAAGAGAAAGCAGUGGGAAUCUUGUUGAUGUUGCACGCCAAUGGGUUGAGAAGCAGGGCUUGCUUCCUUCCAGUGAGGAGCUUCCUUUGACUGAGAGUUUUCCUGGUAGUGGGGGCCUUAUUGCUGCUGCAAAAGAAGCAAGGUAUGACAAAGAGGCUGUGGUGAAAUUUUUCCGCAUGUUGAUCAGGAGAAGAUAUUUCUCAGAUGAAAUACCUUCACCAGCAUGGUCCAUUCCUUCUGUUCCGAGACCAGCUCAGCGUAUAGAUGAAAAUUUCACAGAAGAUGAUCUGCCCUACAGUAGAAGAAGGUACGCUGAUGUGCUUUUAUCAUCACCACCAUGACCGCAGUGUAUUUGGCUGGAAGAUGUCUUCUUGAUCAUAUUUUUCAUGUAUGGAAAGACGACUAAUAAUGCAAUUUUGGAUUUGCCUCCUUGGUGUGAAAAUUUCCGGAUCAUUGUGUUCAAUGGUAGUUGAAAGAUUAUGCACAGAUCCUAGUCUAAGCGGGGGUGAUCCUUUCAAAUUCAACACGCCACUUCCAGCACAACGCAAUCUAACACCGCCACCCACACUCUAUCCUCAACAGCCAGUUUCGGUGUCGGAAACCCAUACUUUUCCUAGGUAUUCCUUGUCAGGCAUCUCAGAAAUCAGUGCUGUGGCCAGAACGAAGCGGUCAGAUAUUAAUGUCUGAAGAUUUAUUUGUGUAUUUUUGGUAACUACAUGGAUGUAUUCUUGCAUGGAACGAAGUUAUAUACGUGUUUAAAUUCUUUGUUCCCAUUGUAACUCGUCAAUUGAUUCAUUCGUUUUCAAGAGGCUUUCUCAGUCGACAGAGGAGCUAAUUGUUCAAUGUUUGGGGAGAAUUUAAAUGAUAUAUGCUCCAUUCUUUUAUAUCAACAGUAUUGUUAUUGGUAAAA